UGUCGGGUUUGGAAUUCAGCCACUCAGAUCAAGAAAAAAAAAAAAAGCAAAAGAAGAGAAAAGAAGGAAAAGAAGAAUCGAAGAGAGGGGAAGAUCUCGCCGAUAACCGUCGGGUUUGAAACUCAGCCACUUAGAUCAAGAUCAAAAAAAGCAAAAGAAGAGAAAAGACGGAAAAGAAGAAUAGAAAAGAGGAGAAGAUCUCGCCGAGAAUAGACCGGCCGGAAGGUCGCUGGGGUGGGAAAGAGAAAGAGGAGAGAUCCAAGAUUGUGGUGGACUUCCGGGGGAAGGUUUGAGUUUGUUUCUGGAGAGGUGGAUGCUAAAAUUUUGAUCGAGUUUGGGGGAGAGCUUUCAGCAGGAGAAGAGUGUAGAGAUGAAGAAGGGAUAUUCUUGGUAUAUUCAGUCAGUAGCUUUGAAAGCACCUGUGUAUUCAAUUGGACCAAUUUAGGAGUGGAGUGCCUUUUGUGUAAUAAAAAGUUUCUGGUCAAGUAUGAAGGAAUUCCUGGGAAUGGAGUAGCUUGAACACCGCUUAUUAUGGUGGAGUAUCAUUAAAAUGAGAUGUAUUGUUUGACAUAUAUUAUCUAGAACCCCCACUUAUUGUCAAAACAAAAAGAAAGUGAAAUGGUUAAUUGCUUUUGGGGGGUAACAAUGAAUACAGAAGUCAUUGCCUACAAUAGCUCUUUAUGUGAGUGGACAUAAUGGGGAGUGCAAUUUCUUUCUGCUGUUUCGGAUUAUAUAGUGCAAAUUGUUUCUGUUUCAUAUUUGUUAGUUGAUUACAUGGAAUAAAAACCUGUAGGCUGUAUACUGCUGGUAUUAAAAGGAAAGUCUCUGAUCCUAUGUACUGUAAAUAUUGACAUUUAGAAGAUUAACAUUUCUCUGGAAUUUUUUAUAUGUUUUUGCUUAUUUAUUUGAAUACGGUAUCAGUUUGCCACAAAGAACUAUUUGGUAGGUGGGAAUUUGAAACACCAGUUCAUCCAUAUUCUGCUUAGUGCUGCUUUCCUUAUUCUACACUCUACAUUCUAGAGUUGUAUACAGAAUUACAGUUGAAUUAAAAAUGGGUUCAUAAACACACUCAGUUGAACAAGUCAAAGAUAAUAAUCUAUGGCAUUCUGUACAUACUAGAACUCUCUAUUUUUACUUAAAUACUGAGACCAAGAGAAGGAAAUACAUUCAUGACCCUUAUAUAUACCAUAGACUUCCAUGUCAUCAAAAGAAAAGAAAAAGAAAAAAAAACACUUCCAUGUGCUAAACUAAUUAAUAACAUCAGCUUGGAUAAUGAGGUUAAUAUAAAAGUUUCCCUUGGAUUUUUAAACUAUUGUUAGUCAUUUCAUGAUAUUAAUUAUAUCUAUUUUGCUUUCCGAGCUUAAUAAUGCUCCUGUUGUGCUGAGAGGAUUUGAAUUUAGCAAACUUCAGGAAAACUAUCAGCAAGUUUGUUGAUUGAUUGAACCAAAGUAUAGAAAUAGGCAAUUCAUUAGUCCUUGAAAUGAAGGUGCGGACUGUUGAUAGAAGUUGAGUCUCACUUUUGGCAUUUCUCUAUCAGAUGACAUCUAUCAAUGGAAACCGGGAACUAGGAGUAUAACACUCGCUGUAUUUUCUCAAUUGCUGCGAUUCUCUAAGAUUCUCAACUUUCCGGUCUCAAUUUAUCAAACAAUGAGGAUUGGUUUGUGCUUCAGUCUAAGGCAAUGAGAAUGAGCAAAGGGUGACAAGUUGUUGGCGUCGCAAAAUGCAGAGAGCCAUCAGAGGACGACAAAGUUACUAGAUGAAGAAAUUGAAGAGGACGAGAUGUUCUGGAAUCAGGAGGCUCUUAAAGAGGAGGAAGAAGAUGAUAACUAUGAAGUGGAGCUGAAAGUUGUUGAUUUGUUUGAUAAUGACUUGGUUAAAGAUUUCCUAAGCUGGAUUGAGCGAUGCUGUGAUUUGGUGUUGAAGCAUCUUUCAGUCAUCCAGAAACAAAGAUGCUGAUGAAAAAAGUUGAUGCAUUGAUGAAAGCCAUGGAGCAGAGUCUGAAAAUAAAGAGAGAAACCGUAGCUAAAGAUAAAGAAGCUGCAGCAGCCAAGGUGGAUGCUGACAAAAAGAACAGAAUUAUAAACUCAUCUAAGAGGUUCUAAUUACUUUUCAACAGCCUCAAUACCAUUCUUUCCUUUUGUAUGAUGCUUCUGUAGCAGCAUCCCUUUCAAAUAUUAAAAUUUUUCAGAUCUGAUCACCUGAAUAUAUGAUUGAUUUUAUGGUUUACUUCUAAUUGCUGGGGGUAACAAAAGCAUCUUCAAUGUUUGGUUACACGAGAUUUAUUGAAGAUAAUGUGGAGAUUUAGUCUUUAUGAGCAAUGUGUCCUAUUAUGAUCAUACGACAAUAAUUCCCGCAGCAAAGUUUCAGCUUAAUGACAAAUUUAAACCCAGUUCGUUUUUCUGUCCAAGUUUAUGUACAAAAUUUGGGUUCCUGUUUCUUUAAAGUUUUAUUUUGGGUUCUGAUUCUGCGUCAUUUUGAUGCGUCAAAUCUGAUAUAACUCCCCUAGGUCCACUCCUUGAUAAGACUGAACGUUAUUUCACCAAGGUAAACUCAACCUCCUGUGCAAAAAAUUUAAGUUCAUGUAUUUUGAUUAUCGAUCUCUGCAUUCUUCCGUGACUACAAAGGAACUCCAUAAGAAAGCUGACUGGUAAGAUGUCUUCUAAUAUUUAUUUAUUAUCUGCUUUGCCUACAUUUUAGAUAAUAAGCUUCUGAUAGAACACUUGGAAAUGAAGCGUACUGUUGAAAGGCCAACUGUCGACAACCUUAUCUGGUUUGCUCACAUUUUAGAAAGAUAUGAGAAGUUGAAGUUGGAGAUUGUGAAUAGAAAGAGCGAGAAUGAAAAUUUAAGGCAGAAUUCAUCGACCAAAUUAAGAGACCAGCUAUUGACCAGCAUUGCUCUUCAGCAAGCAACACCAACACCGACUGAACAUUGUAUUCAAUUUAUAGCUUCAUUAAAGUACAUACAUCAAGUUUGAUCUGAAAUUCUCAGUUUUGUAUCAAUCACAUUAUCAUCUAUUAAACCAGUUCCCGCGCAAGCCGCGGGCAACUAUUGCUCGUAUAAAAGUAAAAUGAGAAUGGUACUGUUCAAUGAAUAGUACUACAGUGACCUGCCCGUUUUGCCCCUGCAUUCUCUUUGCCUUUUUACCUGAUUGCCCCGACAGGUGUACGUCUUCAUUGGCUUCCGAGGCUUUCCGCGUGGCUCUGUUUCCUUGCUCCACGAAGAGAGAACAAUGAAAGAAAAAUCAACAACUGAAAUCGUGCCGGACACCACUACGAAGCUGAAUUCCAGAUUAGAUGAGUAGAAAAUCUGCAGAAGAGAGAGUGAGAGAUAGAGAGGUGAUAUUCAGGAAAGAUAGAGAAUUCUUGCCAUUCUUCUUUUAUGUGUGUAUAACCAAAAAAACAAAAAGGAAAGAAAGGAGCCCUCCAGCUCGAUCUCUCUCUCUUGGCCAUCGUCCGGAGCUCCGCCUCCACUCACCCAGCCAACAACUUCCGGGAGUUAUAUCAUCCAUGCAUGCUGCUUAAUCGAGGCCGCCUAAAAAAAAACACCAUCAAAUUGGCUCUAAUUUCUGGUGAAAUUGUCUGCCAGUGGUAAGGGAAGCUGAUUUGGUCAAGUGGAUUUUCUACUUUCUGGGAUUUUUUUGACACACAACAAAAGAGAGGAGACGAGAUGAGGGACAAGGGGACUGGAAGAGUAUGAAUCUGGGUAUUUGACUGUUCAAUGCUCUGCUCAUUGAAAUAUACCAAAUUUGUGGGAAUUUGAAUGUUCAAGUGAAUUGUUUUGUUUUGUAUUUUCAUUGUCUUCCCUUAAUUUUAUAUCACUUUCUGAGAAAGUUUGAAAAUUUAGAGUUCUGGGUUGAAUUCAUACGAAUUCUGAAUUUGAAUUCGAUAUCUUAAUGCAUGUGGUUUUUGAUUCUUGCUC
Molecule: long non-coding RNA, 3919 nt
Organism: Rosa rugosa (rugosa rose)
Lineage: Eukaryota; Viridiplantae; Streptophyta; Magnoliopsida; Rosales; Rosaceae
Exons: 13
Source: RefSeq, a predicted model, not a curated record